Podarcis lilfordi (Lilford's wall lizard) is the source of this 7128-nucleotide non-coding RNA. NCBI's taxonomy places the organism in Eukaryota, Metazoa, Chordata, Lepidosauria, Squamata, Lacertidae. The record is from the annotation of a GenBank genome assembly.
CACUGCGUUAACACGCAUCGUGACCUCCCUCCCCUCCUGCUGCGGUUUUCUUACAUUUUUUCUUCUCCUGCAGUUUCUAUGUCAAAAAUUUACGCAUAACAAGGAUUAUGUUAAGCCUGCUGUAGUUUUUAAUUUACCACAAUUACUCUCAAUAUAGGUUACAAAUUUACUCCACUCUUCAUUAAACUUUGUUUCCUUUUGGUGUCUGAUUUUGUUUGUCAUUCUUGCCAAUUCUGCGUAUUCGAAUAAUUUUGUUUGCCAAUCCGUAAUCGUGGGAAUUUCCACUGAUUUCCAUUUUUGAGCUAUUAAUAUCCUAGCUGCUGUUGUCACAUACUGAAAUAGGUUUUGGUCUUUUCUUUUGAUUUCAUCCCCAAUUAUUCCUAAGAGGAGUGCCUCUGGUUUUUUUGAAAAGGUGUACCUAAAAAAAUUUUUUAAUUCAUUAUAAAUGAGCUCCCAAAAUUUUUUUAUUUUGUCACACGCCCACCACAUGUGGUAAAAAUCCCCCUCCUUCUGCUUACAUCUCCAACACAUUUUGUUUCCGCUUUUAUACAUUUUAUCCAAUUUUACCGGUGUGAUAUACCAACAAUACAUCAUUUUCUCUAGGUUUUCCCUUAAUGUGACACACCCUGUGAAUUUCAUUCCUCUGUUCCAUAACCUCUCCCAUUUUUCGUACUCUAUAUUAUGUCCUAAGUCCAUGGCCCAUUUUGUCAUUACCUCCUUUACUUCUUCGUCUUUUGUGUCCCAUUCUAACAACAAAUUAUACAUCUUAGCUAACAGUUUGGUUUUCCUUCUAAUCCCUCUGUCUGGUAUCUUGAUUUUUUCUCGUUCAUCCCCGAUUUUUUAUCCUCAUUCCAAAGUGCAUUUAUCUGAUGGUAUUGCAACCAGCCUGUUAGUCUGUCUUUCAGUUCAUCAUAUGGUUUAAUCUUCCAACCUUUUUCCGUUUUAACCAGUAUGUCUUCAUAUGUUAGCCUUUUCGUUUCCAUAUUUACCUUUUUUAUUGUUAGAAUGUCUGUCGGGGAUAGCCACCAAGGAGUGUUCUUUUCUAAAAGUUUCUUAUUUUUUCCCCAAAUUUCAAGCAAUGCUCCUCUGAAAAUAUGAUUGGAGAAUCCUUUAUGGACCUUUCCUUUAUUGAGCCACAAGUAAGCAUGCCAACCAUAUCUAUUGUUAAAGCCUUCUAAGUCUAACAGAUCUAAAUUCUCUAGGGUAAUCCAUUCUUUAAGCCAACAUAGGCUGGAGGCCUCAUAGUAUAAUCUUAGGUUUGGCACAGCAAAGCCCCUCUUUCCCUCCUGUCUGUUAAUAUUUGAAAUUUAAUUCUUGGCCUUUUUGCCUGCCAUAUAAAUUUUGAAAGACUUUUUUGCCAUUCCUUAAAAAUCGCGGAUCCUCUAAUCACCGGAAUGGUUUGAAAUAAGAACAGCAUUUUUGGGAGGAUAUUCAUUUUGAUUGCCGCCAUCCUUCCAGACCAUGAAAGUUUUAAUCUAUUCCAUAUUUCCAGAUCUUUUUUAAUCUCUUUCCACAUAGGUGUAUAAUUAUCACUAAUUAGAUUGAUAUUUUUUGAAGUUAACCAUAUACCUAAGUAUUUGACUUUUUUUGAGACCUUAAUUCCACAUUCCUGUUCUAUGUUCUCUUUUGUAUUCCUAUCUAUAUUUUUCACCAACAUUUUAGUCUUUGUUUUAUUUAGUUUGAAACCUGAUACCUUACCAAAUUCAUCUAAUUGUUCCAACACUUUACCGACGCUUAUUUGUGGUUCUUCUAAUGAUAACACUAGGUCAUCUGCAUAAGCUUUCAACUUAUAUUCCUUUGUUCCGACUCUAAUGCCCCGUAUCUCUGGCGUGUAUCUCACCUCAUUCGCUAUGACCUCUAGAACCAUUAUGAAUAGUAAAGGGGAGAGAGGGCAACCUUGUCUUGUUCCUUUCAUAAUGCUAAAUGUGUCUGUCAGAUUCUUGUUACCAAUUAAUUUAGCUGUUUGGUUAGAGUAGAUCGCCUUUAUACCUUCUAUGAAGUUGCCCUCGAUCCCCAUUUCCUCCAUAGACUUUAACAAAAACUGCCAUGAAACGUUAUCGAACGCUUUUUCAGCGUCUAUAAACAGUAAGGCCGCUGGUACUUCAUUUUUAACUUCUAGGUAUUCUAUGAUAUUUAUAAUAUGUCUGACAUUGUCCUUUAACUGUCUAUUUGGGGAGAAUCCGGCUUGGUCUUUAUGUAUGACACCUUUUAAGCAAAGUAAAUUGCAGUUUCAUAAAGAAACACACACACACACACACACUCAAAACAAGGCAGUGUUAACCAUACAAAAGCUACAAUUAUAAUAAAACCAUCAGUAAAAACAUCAUUCAAGACAUCCAUAAUUACUGGCCUGUUAAAAUAAAAUUCACAUUUCAAAAGCCAGUUUCUCUUCUGCUUUUUAUCCCAAGGUUACAAAAUUCUGACAUGACACCAAAAGUACAAAAAGUGUCCCCUACAAACCUCCAUAAGGCUGCCGUUUAGAAGAAGCUGAUAUAGAGGGGAUGUAGCUGUUCUGAUAUCUGCAAAUGAGAGAGAUCACUGGCAAGGGAGUCCCUUUUAAUAGGACAAUUUCUGAUGGUGAAAAUGUCGGCAGGAAAGAGAGAGAGGCAGCUCUGCUCCACCCUACAUUUUAACUCUGCUAUGAUAGAAGAUCAGGUUACUUCCAAAUGGAAGCAAACAAUAAUAAAUUGGGCUCAUUCACUCACAGUGUUUAAUGGGAUAUUUAAUGGGACAUUGCUCCCAGGUAAAUGUGCAGAAAAUUGCAGUUGUGUUGUAGGCAGCCCAGUCAUAAGCCAUUCAAAAUGCAAAGGACAUACACAUACCAAUCAUAUGGGAUGUGUUAUUAUGCCUGACACAAUGCAGCAAAUGUACCCAUGGUAACAAAAAGGAUGUAAACCAAGGAGCCCUUUAGAUCUCAAAAUUAACUAGCACAAAUUUUUAUUAGGGUCAAGAGCUGUUUGCCACCUGAGGAUAAGCUUUCCCCUUCAACUAGAGCCAUACAGUUUCAGGGUUCCUGUCAGUACCAAAAUCCAGACAAACAUAAAAAUUCUGCUAGUAUGAGGCAUCAAACCAUAGUUAUAGAACAUGGUAACAGAAUCUUACAUCUCCCUCUUCCUUCAAGGAGCUCAGUAUACCCUGGAUUAUGGAGAGAAUGGCAAGGAAACCUUAAUAAAUCCCAAAAUCCUCACCUCCCAUAAUUUUAGUGCCCCCUAAAAAACACCUUUUGUACUAGUCCCACUUGUUAAGGGGACCCACCCUUGGCACCAGUCCCAGCAUAGAUCAGAGUGAAGUGGCUGCCUCAGGCAGUAGCUGUUUGGAUGGGGGGGGGCUCUCAGGUAUAGUGGAGGGCACUGCCUGGUCGCCUCUUUGAAUCACGAUUCAACUGCUACUCUCGAAAGGGUGAGGGAUGCCAACUUGUCUUUUGCCUCAGGCAGCAAAAUAUUUGGGGUCACAGCCCUGCACAGCGCCCUAGGAUCUAUCCUGUAUUUUGAGCUCACAGAGGGUAACAUUUCAGCCACACAGCAACUUUGCAAGUUAUGUUGAGAGAGACAGAGUGAUUUCCCAACGUUGCAAAUUUAGUUUGCACAAUUAAAGCUGAUUGCUCCAUGAUAUUUGCUGCCCCAGCCCCAGCCCCAAAUCAGACUUUUUCUGAUAAGAGAAGUGAUGAGGAAAUGCUCAGGAAAUGAGUAGACUAACAUUUGCCUCAUGCAACAUUGUCUAACUCCCCACAUACCAAUCAGAAUGAAAGCUCAGUGAACAGGUCAGCUGGAAGUGACCUCAGAGGGAUUAAAGGCAUUCCCAGAGGGUUCCAAAAUGCAUUUUCAGGUAGUGUUGGGAUUAUGUUCAGUUCUAUGAUGAAUGUUCACUGUAUGGUUCAUUUUUAUGUAAACUGCUUAGAAAUGUUAAUGAUUAAGCAGCAUAUAAAUGCCUUAAAUCAGAGGUGGGGAAGGUUUUGCCCUUUGCCCAUUUCCCCAUACUCCCCUUUUAAGCUACACACACCCCCACACACACACCCAUGCCUGAUCUCAGAGGCUUAGAAGUGGAGUGGGAGGAGACACACAAAGCUCUUUUAAAGUUUCCCCAUGCUUUUUAAGCCACCAACAUUGUGGAGUUAAAAGGGAGGAAACAUGCAAAAGGCUUUAAGACAGCCUCCACACUCCCUUGGGCAGCUCAAGUGGAAGUACAGGAGUUGUCUUAAAGCCUUUGCAAAAGACUCUUUAAAGUAGCUUGCAUGCACACCCUGCUUCAAAGGGCACUUUUGGGCAGGGCUUCGAUCCCCACUCAGCUGAGGAGCAGAGAUUAAAUCCUGCUACCUUGGCUGGCCGAUCCUGUUCAGACAAGCAGGCUAUUGCAAUGCAGGGAUGGGCAGCAGGUAGAUCAGGAUCUGUAGCUAGAAGAUCUCUCCUUUGCAGUAGAUCGGCAAGAGUUUUUGAUGACAAACAGCAUCAAAACAAUUUGGCCCACUUUAAUUAGGCUCCCAAAAUUAAGACAGCUAAGCAGGAUUUAUACAGAAGGCGAGGGUGUAAAAAGUUGUGUUUCAUCCCAAUAUACACGAGGGGCGCUGUGGUCUAAACCACUGAGCCUCUUGGAUUUGCUGGUCAGAAGGUUGGCAGUUCGAAUCCCCGCAACAGAGUGAGUUCUUGUUGCUCUGUCCCAGCUUCUGCCAACCUAGCAGUUCGAAAGCACGCCAAAGCGCAAGUAGAUAAAUAGGUACCGCUGCGAUGGGAAGGUAAACAGUGUUUCCGUAUGCUCUGGCACUCGUCACGGUGUCCCGUUGCACCAGUAGUGGUUUAGUAAUGCUGGCCACAUGACCUGGAAAGCUAUCUGUGGACAAACCCCAGCUCCCUUGGCCUGAAAAGCGAGAUGAGUGCCACAUCCCAUAGUCACCUUUGACUGGACUUAACCAUCCAGGGGUCCUUUGCCUUUUUUAUAUAUUCAUUACUCUUGGAUAUUGCAUUUGGUAUUUAUAAACCGCGUUGAGUUUUGUUUUUUACAAUCGGUAUAUGGGUUUUAUUAAAUAAAUAAAUAAAAUAACAAAACACAAUUUAAUCCAUGCUUUUUCCUUUGGUAGGUCUUUACAUAAAUAAAGUCAUCAUGCUUUCCUUUCACAUUGGCUCCUGAGGCAGAUGCAACUCAUCCCCCCAGGGGCACUAUAGGGGUGGGACAAAGCUUCCCUUUGUUUGAACCCUAUCCAUGUCUACUCAGGGAUAUCCCACUGAAUUCAAUGGAGCUUACUCCUAGAUAUGCCUUUGCACAUAUAGUCUCACAGUUAUGCACAGUGAAUAACUAUUGUCUGAUCAAUGUAUGUGGAACAUGUAGCCUUACAGCACAAUCUUAACAAUGCCUACUCAGAGGCAGGUCCUAUUGAAUAAAUGGGGCUUACUCCCAAGUAAGUAAGUUUAGAAAUACAGCCUUCGCACGUGCACGUUUAUUAAAAAGCAAGUCCCAGCACUUGGUGUGAUUUGGGCAGCACAACAUCCUUGAAGUCCUACACACAAUAUAGAAAGCAGCAGUUAUUGGCUCUAAUGUUUUUAAGAUGUUUAUUGUUUCAUCUAAUAAAUAAAUAAGUAAACAAUGUGAUAUAACUGCCGGUAUGUUACUCUGAGGCGUUUUGAGAAGGGUGGAAUACAAUGGUGAUAGUUUUCUCAGAGGCCAUCAGAGGCAGAGGAAGCUGCCUUAUACGGAGCCAGACCAAUUUUGGGAAAGUGCUACAUGGGCCAGUCCACCAAUUGGCUACCAAUGAGAACAUAGCAAAACACAAAAUGGCUGCCAUAUGGUGUGGUAUGAAAUAAAUUUGCCUGGCUGUGGAGCGUGAAGGCCGCACCCUGCAAGCCCCUUUCCACGUGGCUUAGGCCCAGACUCGCUAGCCCCACAAAAGAGGCUCCUCAUGAGGCCAGAGGAACAUGGCCUGGCUGUGGGGCAUGAUUCAAAACCUCCAGUCCCAGUCCAGUACUCUAACCACUAAACCACACUGCCCCCCAUUGCAGUCUAUAACAGCCUGGAGGACCACAGAUGCCCCAUAUUCUCUGGCUCUGAGAUUGCCCAAAGUUUCCUUUCUCUCCCUUGUUGUGCAAAAAGAAAAAUGCCCAUGACAAAAUGUGAGACAUUUUUGGUUCUGCUUCUCUCUCUCUCUCUCUCUCUCUCUCUCUCUCUCUCUCUCUCUCCAUUUAAAGGAGCCUCAUCCCUUUUCCCACCCAACUUACUCCUGCACACAGCUUCAAAAUUUCCAUGAAGAACUAACUAAAUAACCAACCAACCAACCCAUAAUUGGAAUUUAUGAGAUUAAGGAGAUAAUUUAUUUUUAUGUAAUCAAAAUAGAUGGGAGGAUAAGUUAAUUGCGCAAGGCAAGAAUAUAUAGGCUGGCAAAAAUCAAAAGAAACAAAGAUUAUGAUUUGGGUUCUUAAAAUAACAACAACACAUGCCUCCUCAGUGGAUUUCAGAACUGUGAACUUGGCUUUGCAACACUGGUAGCUGCACCGUAUAUUUAAGGCGCCCCCACCAAGAAUCCUGGGAACUGUAGUUUGUUAAAGGUGCUGGGAACUGCAGCUUUCUCAUGGUUCCGGAAACCAUAUUGAGCUCUUUGGAAUUUUCAGAGAUUGGGGGGGGGGGGGCUGUUAAUAGAUGCUGUGGAAAUGAAUUCUUCUUGUGGUUUCCGUGUACGAGAUCCAUCCCAGUAUAUAAGCACUACGGUUUGGGAGGAGGCCAGUUGUUUGGAAAGCACAAGGUCGAUAGAAAAAGACGCCCAGACUUUUGUGGACUGUGGCAGAUGAGGACAGAGGGAGACUGCGAUUUGGGGAGAAUGUAUCUUAUUCUAAGUAAAGCUUAAUUCCACAGAAACGGAAAAGAUGUUUGCCUUUCUAGGAUAUGGCACUGCUGUUCAGAUCGCAAGUUACCCAACCUCACAAUUACUUAGGGUCAUGCAAACAGACCGAUAGCCCAUUCUAGUCCAAUGCACUGAUGUCCACAAAAACCUGACAGAUGAUUCAAGGAAGCUUCCAGGCAGUGCAUGAAGGCACUUAGCUCUUCCCCGCUCCCAGAACUGAUAUUCCAGGACAAACCUUUUUUAUAUCAGAACUCUAAUGCGCUAUUACAAUUAAAGGAGGUGAAAACCCAGCCCGUUGGGCGGGG